GUGAAAUUGUUGAAAGGGAAGCGCUGGCAAUCAGACUUGCACUUGGUGUUCAUCAGGGUCUCGUACCCUGUGUACUUCAUCAAGUUCAGGCCAGCAUCAGUUUGAGUGGUUAGAUAAAGGCUUAGAGAAUGUGGCCCUCUUCGGGGGGUGUUAUAGCUCUAGGUGCAAUGUAGCCUACUUGGACUGAGGACCGCGCUUCGGCUAGGAUGCUGGCGUAAUGGCUUUAAACGACCCGUCUUGAAACACGGACCAAGGAGUCA
Molecule: ribosomal RNA, 260 nt
Filed under: uncultured fungus
Lineage: Eukaryota; Fungi
Description: partial 28S ribosomal RNA
Rfam family: Eukaryotic large subunit ribosomal RNA
Source: RNAcentral